GCGCCUGUAGCUCAGCUGGAUUAGAGCGGCUGCCUACGAAGCAGUAGGUCGGGCGUUCGAAUCGCCCCAGGCGCG
This 75-nucleotide transfer RNA is filed under the name Candidatus Desantisiibacteriota bacterium. RNAcentral's name for it is "Candidatus Desantisbacteria bacterium (hot springs metagenome) tRNA-Arg". It matches the Rfam family "tRNA". Rfam says of the family: Transfer RNA (tRNA) molecules are approximately 80 nucleotides in length. Their secondary structure includes four short double-helical elements and three loops (D, anti-codon, and T loops). The record is from RNAcentral. Lineage: Bacteria; Candidatus Desantisiibacteriota.